GUUGUAUAGUCAAGUAAUUAAGUGCAUGUGGUGGAUGCCUUGGCAGUCAGAGGCGAUGAAAGACGUGAUAGCCUGCGAAAAGCUCCGGGGAGGCGGCAAAUAUCCUUUGAUCCGGAGAUGUCUGAAUGGGGGAACCCACCUACUUUAAGGUAGGUAUUGCAACAUGAAUACAUAGUGUUGCAAGGCGAACGAGGGGAAGUGAAACAUCUCAGUACCCUUAGGAAAAGAAAUCAAUUGAGAUUCCCUCAGUAGCGGCGAGCGAACGGGGAUCAGCCCAUUAAGUUAUGUGUGUUUUAGUGGAACGCUCUGGGAAGUGCGAACGUAGAGGGUGAUAUUCCCGUACACGAAAGGGCACACAUAAUGAUGACGAGUAGGGCGAGGCACGUGAAACCUUGUCUGAAUAUGGGGGGACCAUCCUCCAAGGCUAAAUACUCCUGACUGACCGAUAGUGAACCAGUACCGUGAGGGAAAGGCGAAAAGAACCCCUGUGAGGGGAGUGAAAUAGAUCCUGAAACCGCAUGCAUACAAGCAGUGGGAGCACCUUCGUGGUGUGACUGCGUACCUUUUGUAUAAUGGGUCAGCGACUUAUAUUCAGUAGCGAGGUUAACCGUAUAGGGGAGCCGUAGAGAAAUCGAGUCUUAAUAGGGCGUUUAGUUGCUGGGUAUAGACCCGAAACCAGGCGAUCUAUCCAUGAGCAGGUUGAAGGUUGGGUAACACUAACUGGAGGACCGAACCCACUGUCGUUGAAAAGCCAGGGGAUGACUUGUGGAUAGGGGUGAAAGGCUAAUCAAGCCUGGUGAUAGCUGGUUCUCCCCGAAAGCUAUUUAGGUAGCGCCUCGGACGAAUACCAUAGGGGGUAGAGCACUGUUUCGGCUAGGGGGUCAUCCCGACUUACCAAACCGAUGCAAACUCCGAAUACCUAUGAGUACUAUCCGGGAGACAGACUGCGGGUGCUAACGUCCGUAGUCAAGAGGAAAACAAUCCAGACCGCCAGCUAAGGCCCCAAAAUCAUAGUUAAGUGGGAAACGAUGUGGGAAGGCAUAGACAGCUAGGAGGUUGGCUUAGAAGCAGCCACCCUUUAAAGAAAGCGUAAUAGCUCACUAGUCGAGUCGGCCUGCGCGGAAGAUGUAACGGGGCUAAAA
Molecule: ribosomal RNA, 1142 nt
Filed under: Acinetobacter baumannii
Lineage: Bacteria; Pseudomonadati; Pseudomonadota; Gammaproteobacteria; Moraxellales; Moraxellaceae
Description: partial 23S ribosomal RNA
Rfam family: Bacterial large subunit ribosomal RNA
Source: RNAcentral